Arachis stenosperma is the source of this 2633-nucleotide RNA transcript. RefSeq lists it as uncharacterized. The transcript has 8 exons. The record is from RefSeq and is a predicted model, not a curated record. NCBI's taxonomy places the organism in Eukaryota, Viridiplantae, Streptophyta, Magnoliopsida, Fabales, Fabaceae.
UGUGCAACAUCUGCACAAAUUUGACUGCGCAGCGGAACUUAACAUACGCUAAGAAUCGGAUUCUCAAGUCUCAACUCAGAGCUCACCAAGCGAGAAUCCAAAUUCCCCAGGGAAAAAAAAGGAAGAAAAAGAAUCCCCAUUUUUUUUUCAUUUUAUCUACAUCUUAUAUUAUAAAUUAUUCAGAGAAAAUAUCACAAGGAAAAAUAAAGAUACCAUCCUUUUUUCUUUAAACUCUGUUGACUCGUUUAGAAAACUUUUUCCCUGCCACCCAAACCCAAAACCCUAAUCUCAUUCUUCUCUAUGGAUCCCUCUCGCCGAGCACCGCGCUCAGCGAUCGACCCCGUCCCCAAGUUCCGCCAAGUCGGGUUCUUCACUCCUGGAGCCCCGCCCGAACGCUCUCAAUCGGGUCCACCCGACCCGACACACUCUACUCCCGUUUCCGACGUCUCACAAUCCGCCAACUCGCUCUCUCCGGUCAUGAUCCCUCCGCCGCGCCACCUCUCCGACAAUCUCGUCAUCAACGCCCGCCCCACGCUUGCGUCCCCUCUCCGCGCAGAUUCCCUCGCCGGUGGCGGAGUUAGUAGCUUCGGCGAUUUCUUCCCCGCACCGAUGUCGCCGGCGACUCCAGCUUCUUCUUCGUACUCCAGCAGGAUGGCCGCCGGCGAAGGGAGCUUCUUUGAGCGCCAUGGUGGCGGAGGCGAUAAGGGGAACAAUGCCGGCAAAGUGGCGUCGUCAUUUCCCCGCGGAGGAUUCGACCUGACGGCGAUGAAGAAGGUUAGUGGCAUUGGCGGUGGCGGUGGCGGUGGUAGUGGCGUUGGUGUUCCGGCAAGUGAGCUGACCACCGUGUCCGUGGUGAAUGAUUCGCUAGCGGUUCAUGAAAAAGAGAAAGCAAACAGAGGAGGAGGGUCAGCUGUGGAAGCAAAAGACCAAUCUACUGGUUCAAAACAACAAAAACCAAAGACCACAAAAGCUGAAAGGCGAGCUCUUCAAGAAUCUCAACGUGCCGCAAAGGCUGCUGCAAAAGCUGAAGGCAACAAGGCAUCUGGAGCUGCAACUUCAGUGAAUGCAAAACCAGCUAAAGCUGCCAAGCCCACACCAAAAGUUGAUAAUGCUGCAGUUGCAGCAUCUGAGAAGAAGGGUGGUGAUUGUCCUCCAGAAAAGGAUAGAAAGAAGGAUGUUCCUCAACCACGAAUGCAAUAUGAUGACAAGAGUCGAGUGGAGAAAGCUAAGCGACGAGCUGUGGUGAAACAAACUGAAGCUAGGAACAGAGUUGAGUUGUUCAGGCAUUUACCACAAUAUGAACACGGAAGUCAGCUUCCAGAUCUAGAGUCAAAGUUUUUUCAUCUGGAUCCUGUACAUCCAGCUGUUUAUAAGGUGGGUUUGCAGUAUCUGUCUGGCGAUAUAUGUGGUGCUAAUGCUCGUUGUAUUGCAAUGUUUCAAGCAUUUCAAGAAGCCAUAAAAGACUAUAGAGUUCCACCUGAGAAGACUCUUGUGAGAGACUUAACAGCAAAAAUAGGUAGUUAUGUUUCAUUUCUAAAUGAGUGUAGGCCUAUUUCAAUCAGCAUGGGAAAUGCAAUUAGAUUUCUCAAAAGUCGGAUAGCCAAGCUACCUUUGACCCUGUCCGAGUCAGAAGCCAAAGUUUCUCUCCAGUCAGAUAUUGAGCGUUUUAUAAGUGAGAAGAUUGUACUUGCCAACAAGGUGAUAGUCAAGCAUGCUGUCACCAAAAUAAGAGAUGGUGAUGUUCUUCUAACUUAUGGAUCAUCAUCGGCAGUUGAAAUGAUACUGUUACAUGCACAUGAAUUGGGAAAACAGUUUCGUGUUGUUGUAGUUGAUUCUCGUCCAAAGCUUAGAGGACAGCUUUUACUUCGGAGGCUUCUGGAGAAGGGUCUUAGCUGUGAAUACACUCAUAUAAAUGCUGUUUCAUACAUAAUGCAUGAAGUUACCCGAGUUUUUCUGGGUGCUUCGUCAGUGUUGUCUAAUGGAACCGUAUAUUCAAGGGUUGGGACUGCAUGUGUUGCAAUGGUUGCUCAUGCGUUCCGUGUACCUGUCAUAGUAUGUUGUGAGGCCUAUAAAUUUCAUGACAGGGUACAGCUGGAUUCGAUAUGCUCAAAUGAACUUGGUGAUCCAGAUAUAAUUUCAAAUGUUCGGGGUAGAGAGGAUGUCAACUACUUGGAUGGUUGGGCCAAUGUUGAAAAUCUACAACUUUUAAAUCUGAUUUAUGAUGCAACACCUUCAGAUUAUGUUUCAAUGAUAGUCACAGAUUAUGGCAUGGUGCCCCCCACAAGUGUUCCUGUAAUUGUAAGAGAAUAUGGGAGAGAGCAGGUCUGGAUUUAAAUUAUGCAAUUGUGGAUCGGCUCAAUUUGGUUGGCUUCCAAAAUCUAUUUGAAAUCAUGAGUGCUUACAUUUUAUCUUAUACAGGGUGAGGAGUCCAGAAGGCCAAAAUAGAAAAAAGAGUACGGGGGGCAAUGAUUGUUUCAAACCAUUCAAAAAUAUUCUUGUUCCUUUCAUGUUUCAACUUUUAUUUUCAAACAAUAACUAUUUAAAAAAGAGGUGUUUGACGUAAGAAAACAAUUAUAUAACAAAGGUUUUUUUAUAUGUAACGAUCACAACCACAAAUUUUAUUCCAUUAGUUU